UACGUAGGGGCUAGCGUUAUCCGGAAUUACUGGGCGUAAAGGGUGCGUAGGUGGUUUCUUAAGUCAGAGGUGAUAGGCUACGGCUCAACCGUAGUAAGCCUUUGAAACUGGGAAACUUGAGUGCAGGAGAGGAGAGUGGAAUUCCUAGUGUAGCGGUGAAAUGCGUAGAUAUUAGGAGGAACACCAGUUGCGAAGGCGGCUCUCUGGACUGUAACUGACACUGAGGCACGAAAGCGUGGGGAGCAAACAGGAUUAGAUACCCGCGUAGUCCCUGA
Molecule: ribosomal RNA, 275 nt
Filed under: uncultured prokaryote
Description: partial 16S ribosomal RNA
Rfam family: Bacterial small subunit ribosomal RNA
Source: RNAcentral